Molecule: ribosomal RNA, 460 nt
Filed under: uncultured bacterium
Lineage: Bacteria
Description: partial 16S ribosomal RNA
Rfam family: Bacterial small subunit ribosomal RNA
Source: RNAcentral
CCUACGGGUGGCAGCAGUGAGGAAUAUUGGUCAAUGGACGAGAGUCUGAACCAGCCAAGUAGCGUGAAGGAUGACUGCCCUAUGGGUUGUAAACUUCUUUUAUAUGGGAAUAAAACGUUCCACGUGUGGGAUUUUGUAUGUACCAUAUGAAUAAGGAUCGGCUAACUCCGUGCCAGCAGCCGCGGUAAUACGGAGGACCCGAGCGUUAUCCGGAUUUAUUGGGUUUAAAGGGAGCGUAGGUGGAUUGUUAAGUCAGUUGUGAAAGUUUGCGGCUCAACCGUAAAAUUGCAGUUGAAACUGGCAGUCUUGAGUACAGUAGAGGUGGGCGGAAUUCGUGGUGUAGCGGUGAAAUGCUUAGAUAUCACGAAGAACUCCGAUUGCGAAGGCAGUUCACUGAACUGCAACUGACACUGAGGCUCGAAAGUGUGGGUAUCAAACAGGAUUAGAUACCCGAGUAGUC